AAAAUUCUAUUUGCUACCUAAAUAAAGAUUAAUAACUCCGAUCUUAAAUUGAAGGAUCCGAUCAUCCAUUUUUAGGAUGUCGUUCGAUUUUGACCGUUCAUUUUAUACCCGCUUGAUGGACUUUAUAAUGAUUUCGAAAAAUUACGAAAUUUAUUUUUUAGAAGUUUCAAAUACUCUAGAUCAUAUUUAACGGAGUGGAUCGUCGAUUUGAAAACCCCAACAUCGAAAACAACUUAUAAGUACGAAGGGCACUAUACUCAUAAGAGUAUAGUAGUCUUACUCUCUCUCUCUCUCUCUCUCUCUCUAUAUAUAUAUAUAUAUAUAAGAGUCCGGCUACUAUACUCUUAUGAGUACGAUCGCCUUCGUACUCAUAAGUUAUUUUCGAUGAUAGAGCUUCCGAAUCGACGAUCCAUACCGUUAAAUNAAUAUUAUCUAGAGUACUUAAAACUUCUAGAAAUCAAAUUUUAGAAUUUUUCGAUAUUAUUUACCUUACGAUCAAAAGCUCACAAAAUUGACAAUUUUUAACGGCCAAUAUGAGAUAUUUGCUAGUUUAACAGUGAAAAAGAAUCUAAAUUGGUUGAAUUUUUGAUAGAAAAUUCUAUUCACUACCUAAAUAAAGAUCAAUAACUCCGAUCUUAAAUUGAUGGAUCCGAUCAUCCAUUUUUAGAAUGUCGUUCGAUUUUAACCGUUCAUUUUUUAUCCACUUGAUGGACUUUAUAAUGACUUCGAAAAAUUACGAAAUUCAUAUAUUUUCUAGAAGUUUCAAAUACUCUAGAUCAUGUUUAACGGUAUGGAUUGUCGAUUCAAAAAUCCUAAUAUCGAAAACAACCUAUGAGUACGAAGGGCUCUAUAGUCAUAAGAGUAUAGUAGCCCUACUAUAUAUAUAUAUAAAUUUGAGCUUCUAUAUUUUUAAAAGCACCAAGUCAUUGAUAUUUAUAAUUUUUGGAUUUUGGGAUGAAGAUUUAUAGGGCUGGGAUAAUAAUGGUCUCCUAAAGUGAGUGAUUGGUAAAAUAGUAUAAUCUAAAUAGUGGAAUUGACCAAAAAUAUAUAUCUAACGGUAAAAAACUUACAAUCAUAAAAUGCUUAGUGCUUUUUUAAAGCACCAUAACCGCAC
RNAcentral lists this long non-coding RNA (1114 nucleotides) under Ananas comosus (pineapple). RNAcentral's name for it is "long non-coding RNA (ACOM_LNC028360)". The record is from RNAcentral. Lineage: Eukaryota; Viridiplantae; Streptophyta; Magnoliopsida; Poales; Bromeliaceae.